RNAcentral lists this ribosomal RNA (429 nucleotides) under Bacteroidota bacterium. RNAcentral describes it as "Bacteroidetes bacterium partial 16S ribosomal RNA". It matches the Rfam family "Bacterial small subunit ribosomal RNA", at positions 355 to 776 of the family's 1533-position model. Lineage: Bacteria; Pseudomonadati; Bacteroidota. The record is from RNAcentral.
UAGGGAAUCUUCGGCAAUGGGGGGAACCCUGACCGAGCAACGCCGCGUGAGUGAAGAAGGUUUUCGGAUCGUAAAGCUCUGUUGUUAAGGAAGAACGAGUGUGAGAAUGGAAAGUUCAUACUGUGACGGUACUUAACCAGAAAGGGACGGCUAACUACGUGCCAGCAGCCGCGGUAAUACGUAGGUCCCGAGCGUUGUCCGGAUUUAUUGGGCGUAAAGCGAGCGCAGGCGGUUAGAUAAGUCUGAAGUUAAAGGCAGUGGCUCAACCAUUGUAGGCUUUGGAAACUGGUUAACUUGAGUGCAGAAGGGGAGAGUGGAAUUCCAUGUGUAGCGGUGAAAUGCGUAGAUAUAUGGAGGAACACCGGUGGCGAAAGCGGCUCUCUGGUCUGUAACUGACGCGGAGGCUCGAAAGCGUGGAGAGCGAACAGG